Molecule: long non-coding RNA, 450 nt
Organism: Panicum virgatum (switchgrass)
Lineage: Eukaryota; Viridiplantae; Streptophyta; Magnoliopsida; Poales; Poaceae
Exons: 2
Source: RefSeq, a predicted model, not a curated record
CCACCCCGUUCCGGCCCGGUUUCAAUCCCCACCUCCCACCCUCCGGAUCCAAUCCGGAUCGACGCGGAGAGGGGAGGGCAACGGGGCACGGGGCGCAGCUGGCGGCGCGUGGAGAGGGGAGGGCGACGGUGCAGCGGCACGGCGGCGCACCGGCAGUGAGCUUGUCCUCCGUCGCCUUCUCACCAGAGGCUUCUAGGUCAAUACUCAAGCUGCUAGAAAGGCAUAGGACAAGGCCAUGAUCUGAGUAUAAGAGGAUUUAUCAUGCUAUUUUAUCCUGCAUUAUCAUAAGUUACCUACCCGGAUUUUGAGAAUGAGCCUUCUCAGUUUUGUUUAUUUGUUGCUUUGACAAUCUUUCAAACAUGACUCAAUAGGUCUCUUAUGUAAAGACUCACACUUGGGUAUUUAUUUUCAGUUUGUUUGAGAUUAUACGGUGAAGAUUCAAAUUUUGUA